ACAGCCAGUAGUGCUCGGAUUUGCCAUCUCUGCACCGUCGGAUUGGUUUCAUUCAACGACCAUCUUUCAAAGUUAUUCGCACACUAUAUAGGGGUAUAGAUAUAGAAAAUGAGAUGACAUGUAUCCCAAAUCCUAUGAGUAGGAUUAGGAAGAGAGAUGUCAUUUGGUCCACAUCAUAGGAAUUUUUUCAUUCAGUCUAGGCUCAUGUUUAUUUUCUUUUGAAAUGUGAAGGAUAGGAAUCAAUCCUAUAUAGGAAUAGGAGGAAUUCAUUCCUAUGAACCAAAGGGCUCUAAAGGAAAAAUUCCUACAAGAAUCCUAUCCUAUAGAAUUCCUAUGAAAUUCCUCCAAACCAGAGGAGGCCUUAAUUUAUACCUGCAGUCUAGAGGCAUCCAAUGAAUGUAUUACAGUUGGCUACCGCUAUUCUUUCCACUUUCUUCUUUGAGCUUUAGUAACUUGGUGAUAGAAUAGCACAUUUAUUCUGGAGCUACAAUGAUGAUCAGGUGCUACAACUUUAUCUGCACAACAGUCUGCUUUCUUACAUUGCUUGUUAAUUUUUAUGCAUUAAGACGUUGUGCCCAUGUCGCCCUCUGGUUACACUGUUAUGAUUGAGCAAGGAUUACACAGACCUCUAAAUUCAUGUCAGUCCAGCUGUACUUGAGGUAAUUGCAUGGGUAUGCUUUGUACUUCCUCUGUUCCUAAAUAUAGGUCUUUGUAGAGAUUUCACUAUGGUCUAUGUACGAAGCAAAAUGAGUGAAUCUACACUCUAAAAUGCAUCUACAUACAUCCGUAUGUGGUCUGUAGUGAAAUCUCUACAAAGACUUAUAUUUAGGAACGGAGGGAGUACUAGUUACCGCUUUAGCUCUGUUGUUUGCAUGCCAUUUUUGUCUUGUUGCUUGAACCGUGGAAGGUUGAUCUCACAGCGGGCCUAGAUGGGGAGGAUCAAGGAGACCAAGAGCAAUGUACAUUUAGCAUCAAAUUCAGAAAUGCAGUAUGUUGUGGGAACAGAUGUUAUAUUUUUCAGGUGUUCCAUUCUCUUGGUAUUGUCAGAAGGUUACAGUGUUCAAGAAGAAUGGUGGAAUGCUGGCUCUAAUUCAAUGUUCAGGUCACCAUGUCUUGUUCAGUGGAGCAAUUGUGAUUGUUGAUGUUCAGUUCUUCUGGAUCCAAUCCAUGCUGAUUGUGCUGUCCCGCAGGUAUUAAGGCCGGAGCGGAGCAGGAGCAGGAGCAGUGGAGCGGAUGGACACCGAACGGGGCCUAAGUAUGUAAAAGAAGAACGUGCCAUCAGCAAAAGUGUUCUCAAGAGAAUGCAGCUCAUCCAGAAAAAGACUUAGCAAUGUGCAAUAGUCAUCUCCAUGUAACUUCAAAAUGAUGAAUAAAUUCGAGACUGCCAUUAGCUUGCAGCAGCAACGGCGCUGGUUGUAACGGCGGCAAUUUUCUCCCUGUAAUUUCAAAUACAGCUACUACAUUCAGAGAUCUCUGAACGAGUGUAACACGACGGGAUCAGCUAAGAUCAGCACUACGCCACUA
Aegilops tauschii subsp. strangulata is the source of this 1524-nucleotide long non-coding RNA. RefSeq lists it as uncharacterized. Lineage: Eukaryota; Viridiplantae; Streptophyta; Magnoliopsida; Poales; Poaceae. The record is from RefSeq and is a predicted model, not a curated record.